RNAcentral lists this ribosomal RNA (460 nucleotides) under Beregama aurea. Its description in RNAcentral is "partial 16S ribosomal RNA". It matches the Rfam family "Archaeal large subunit ribosomal RNA", at positions 1904 to 2680 of the family's 2987-position model. The record is from RNAcentral. Lineage: Eukaryota; Metazoa; Arthropoda; Arachnida; Araneae; Sparassidae.
AAAAACAUAUUUAAUAGCUCUAAUUAUUAAUACUUCCUGCUCAAUGAAUUAUUAAAUAGCCGCAGUUCAUACUGUGCUAAGGUAGCAUAAUCAUUUGUCUUUUAAUUAAAGACUAGAAUGAAAGGAUUAACAUUUAAACCUUUAUUACAAUUUUUAAAUUUUAACUUUUUUUAAAUGUAACAAAACAUUUAUAAAAAGAAAGACGAAAAGACCCUAUUGAACUUAACUUCAGUUUAACUGGGGCAGUUAAUUAAUUAAUAUUUUAAUUYUAUUUUUUAAAAAAAUGACCAGAUUUAAUCGACUAAAUGAUCAAGUUACCAUAGGGAUAACAGCGUAAUAAUUUUCAAUAGAUCUUAUAUAAAAAAAUGAUUGCGACCUCGAUGUUGAAUUAAUUUUUCUAAUAAAUGCAACAAUUUAAAAAGAAAGUCUGUUCGACUUUUAAAUAAUUACAUGAUCUGAG